UACGGAGGGGGCAAGCGUUGUCCGGAUUUAUUGGGCGUAAAGAGCGUGUAGGCGGCCAGACAAGUCUGCUGUGAAAACUCGAGGCUCAACCUCGAGCUGUCGGCGGAAACUGUCUGGCUAGAGUCCGGAAGAGGAGAGUGGAAUUCCUGGUGUAGCGGUGAAAUGCGCAGAUAUCAGGAAGAACACCGAUGGCGAAGGCAGGUCUCUGGGCAUUAACUGACGCUGAGGAGCGAAAGCAUGGGGAGCGAACAGG
RNAcentral lists this ribosomal RNA (253 nucleotides) under uncultured bacterium. RNAcentral's name for it is "partial 16S ribosomal RNA". It matches the Rfam family "Bacterial small subunit ribosomal RNA", at positions 524 to 776 of the family's 1533-position model. The record is from RNAcentral.